Molecule: ribosomal RNA, 411 nt
Filed under: Triticum aestivum (bread wheat)
Lineage: Eukaryota; Viridiplantae; Streptophyta; Magnoliopsida; Poales; Poaceae
Description: partial small subunit ribosomal RNA
Source: RNAcentral
AUGGAACCGCCGGAUCGUCCACGCAAGAGGAAUCUGCCAUGUGUGCAAGGUGAAGGCGAUGGAAAGAAGAAAAAGCCAAGAUCCGUCGGACCCAGUGAAGGAUCCAUCGAUGGAGCCCGUGCUCGAGGCAAGGGCACUUCUCCAGCCACCCCCAAUGCCUCGGGAGGAGCUGCUGCCGUUGGGGAGGUGCCGAACGACGCUACCAGGAAAAGGAGGGGAGAGCUGGUCAAUGACAACAACCAAAGGUCGUCGAGACGGCGUGUAUCUCGGCGUACGCUUGUGUUGGUUCAUGGGUAUCCACAUCAGGCCAGUCAAGUAAUACCAUUUGUGCCGCCGGGCCUACUAGCCGAAUCGACAGUACUCCAUGGUAGAGUUGUAAGGUGUACUUGGAGCUGUCAGCAUGUCCUCUGA